This 253-nucleotide ribosomal RNA is filed under the name uncultured bacterium. RNAcentral describes it as "partial 16S ribosomal RNA". It matches the Rfam family "Bacterial small subunit ribosomal RNA", at positions 524 to 776 of the family's 1533-position model. The record is from RNAcentral.
UACGAAGGGGGCUAGCGUUGUUCGGAAUUACUGGGCGUAAAGCGCGCGCAGGCGGUUUUCCAAGUCAGUGGUGAAAGCCCGGAGCUCAACUCCGGAAAUGCCAUUGAAACUGUAAAACUUGAGGACGAGAGAGGUGAGUGGAAUUCCCAGUGUAGAGGUGAAAUUCGUAGAUAUUGGGAAGAACACCCGUGGCGAAGGCGGCUCUCUGGGACGGUACUGACGCUGAGACGCGAAAGCGUGGGGAGCGAACAGG